UGGGGAAUAUUGCACAAUGGGCGCAAGCCUGAUGCAGCCAUGCCGCGUGUAUGAAGAAGGCCUUCGGGUUGUAAAGUACUUUCAGCGAGGAGGAAGGCGUUGUGGUUAAUAACCGCAACGAUUGACGUUACUCGCAGAAGAAGCACCGGCUAACUCCGUGCCAGCAGCCGCGGUAAUACGGAGGGUGCAAGCGUUAAUCGGAAUUACUGGGUGUAAAGCGCACGCAGGCGGUCUGUCAAGUCGGAUGUGAAAUCCCCGGGCUCAACCUGGGAACUGCAUCCGAAACUGGCAGGCUAGAGUCUUGUAGAGGGGGGUAGAAUUCCAGGUGUAGCGGUGAAAUGCGUAGAGAUCUGGAGGAAUACCGGUGGCGAAGGCGGCCCCCUGGACAAAGACUGACGCUCAGGUGCGAAAGCGUGGGGAGCAAACA
This 427-nucleotide ribosomal RNA is filed under the name uncultured bacterium. RNAcentral's name for it is "partial 16S ribosomal RNA". It matches the Rfam family "Bacterial small subunit ribosomal RNA", at positions 355 to 774 of the family's 1533-position model. The record is from RNAcentral.